CAUUAGACCUCUUUUGCUGUCAAGCAGUGCAGGUUGUCAGUGGUCAGAGGUUCAUCCAGAGAUCCAGCUGCUGCUGAGGCUGCUCUCUGAUGCUGGCGGGGCUCAUCUCUGCGCGUGCUGCUUGAAAGGGGAAGUUAGAUUCUGCACACAGUUCCUUUUUCAUCUCUGACUUGUGGGACUGUUGCAAGUGGAUGUCGUGCUGCAGGUCUCUGUUCUGCCUGCAUCUUCGAGCUGUGAGUCGAGCCCCCGGAGACUGAUCGGUAGAUACACAUCAACAGCUUGCGUCAUUAAUAUUGAAAGCCCUCACUGCCGACCUCGAGUCAUGACGAGAUCGUGCACAAGUUUCAGGCCUGCGACGACGCGAGGCGGGAAACAUGUUGUGACCAUAAUCCCAUGUUUACCGGCUUGUUACUCACGGCCCAGUCACUUCCUCCUUGCAGGGGGAGGAAGGGAAGGAUAGGGAGCCGAGAUGAUGAAGUCAAAGUUUAUUAUGUGCCUAUAUGGCUGAUGCAGCAUAUUCGGAGCAUGGUAAUUCAUCAAUGUCAGAUGCCUGUGCUCGCUGUAUCAGUGUAACUCAUAGUUACUUAUAUCCCAGACUGUAAACUCAUUGUGCUGAUGUUCUAUUUUGUUGAUGUUGUUGUUGUUGUUGUUGUUGUUGUUUUGUCCGCCAUGAUUAGGUAAGCUUUUCACGUAAUGGA
Molecule: long non-coding RNA, 698 nt
Organism: Seriola aureovittata
Lineage: Eukaryota; Metazoa; Chordata; Actinopteri; Carangiformes; Carangidae
Exons: 3
Source: RefSeq, a predicted model, not a curated record